RNAcentral lists this non-coding RNA (173 nucleotides) under Negativicutes bacterium. RNAcentral's name for it is "6S RNA". It matches the Rfam family "6S / SsrS RNA". Rfam says of the family: E. coli 6S RNA was the first non coding RNA to be sequenced, but its function was unknown until recently. It consists of 184 nucleotides that fold into an extended hairpin structure with a large single-stranded internal bulge. The record is from RNAcentral. Lineage: Bacteria; Bacillati; Bacillota; Negativicutes.
CAUUGCCUGAGAUGCACGUCAUCUUGAUAUGUCCAACCUACUUUUAUAUAUAGGGAAUCCAAUGUUAUGUAGCUGUCGAGCCGCCAUAGAGCGGAGGACAAAAGCAUAUCUAGGAUGCCCACCUGCGAGUAGCGGGUUUGGACAUAUUAUAGAAGCGACAUUCCGGGCCUACA